RNAcentral lists this ribosomal RNA (462 nucleotides) under uncultured bacterium. RNAcentral's name for it is "partial 16S ribosomal RNA". It matches the Rfam family "Bacterial small subunit ribosomal RNA", at positions 28 to 507 of the family's 1533-position model. The record is from RNAcentral.
GACGAACGCUGGCGGCGUGCUUAACACAUGCAAGUCGAGCGGAAAGGCCCUUCGUGGUACUCGAGCGGGGAACGGGUGAGUGACAGGUGAAUAACCUGCCCCAGACCUUGGGUUAACCCUCGGAUACGGGGGCUAAUACCGCAUACGACACAGCUUCGCCCUGGGUCUGUGUGGAAAGGUUGUUGGUUUGGGAUGGGCUUGGGGCCGAUCAGCUUGUUGUUGGGGUAAUGGCAGUCCAAGGCCAAGACGGGUAGCCGGCCUGAGAGGGCGAGCGGCGACAAGAGUACUGAGAGACGGCCCAGACUCCUACGGGAGGCAGCAGUGGGGAAUAUUGCACAAUGGGCGGAAGCCUGAUGCAGCGACGCCGCGUGUGGGAUGACGUCCUUCGGGUUGUGAACCGCUUUCGGCUGGGACGAAGCGUAAGUGACGGUACCUGAAGAAGAAGCGCCGGCUAACUACGUG